RNAcentral lists this transfer RNA (93 nucleotides) under Bacillota bacterium. RNAcentral's name for it is "Firmicutes bacterium (anaerobic digester metagenome) tRNA-Ser". It matches the Rfam family "tRNA". From Rfam's summary of the family: Transfer RNA (tRNA) molecules are approximately 80 nucleotides in length. Lineage: Bacteria; Bacillati; Bacillota. The record is from RNAcentral.
GGAGAGGUGGCUGAGUGGUCGAUAGCGCUCGCCUCGAAAGCGAGUAGGUGGGCAGCCCCCGCCUCGCGGGUUCGAAUCCCGCCCUCUCCGCCA